UACGAAGGGGGCUAGCGUUGCUCGGAAUCACUGGGCGUAAAGGGUGCGUAGGCGGGUCUUUAAGUCAGGGGGUGAAAUCCUGGAGCUCAACUCCAGAACUGCCUUUGAUACUGAGAGUCUUCGAGUCCGGGAGAGGUGAGUGGAACUGCGAGUGUAGAGGUGAAAUUCGUAGAUAUUCGCAAGAACACCAGUGGCGAAGGCGGCUCACUGGUCCGGUACUGACGCUGAGGUGCGAAAGCGUGGGGGAGCAAACAGG
RNAcentral lists this ribosomal RNA (256 nucleotides) under uncultured bacterium. RNAcentral describes it as "partial 16S ribosomal RNA". It matches the Rfam family "Bacterial small subunit ribosomal RNA", at positions 524 to 776 of the family's 1533-position model. The record is from RNAcentral.